AACGAACGCUGGCGGCAUGCCUAACACAUGCAAGUCGAACGAGACCUUCGGGUCUAGUGGCGCACGGGUGCGUAACGCGUGGGAACCUGCCCUUAGGUUCGGAAUAACUCCCCGAAAGGGGUGCUAAUACCGGAUAAUGUCUUCGGACCAAAGAAUUAUCGCCUUCGGAUGGGCCCGCGUUGGAUUAGCUAGUUGGUAGGGUAAAAGCCUACCAAGGCGACGAUCCAUAGCUGGUCUGAGAGGAUGAUCAGCCACACUGGGACUGAGACACGGCCCAGACUCCUACGGGAGGCAGCAGUGGGGAAUAUUGGACAAUGGGCGAAAGCCUGAUCCAGCAAUGCCGCGUGAGUGAUGAAGGCCUUAGGGUUGUAAAGCUCUUUUACCCGGGAUGAUAAUGACAGUACCGGGAGAAUAAGCUCCGGCUAACUCCGUG
RNAcentral lists this ribosomal RNA (433 nucleotides) under uncultured bacterium. Its description in RNAcentral is "partial 16S ribosomal RNA". It matches the Rfam family "Bacterial small subunit ribosomal RNA", at positions 29 to 507 of the family's 1533-position model. The record is from RNAcentral.